RNAcentral lists this ribosomal RNA (468 nucleotides) under uncultured bacterium. RNAcentral's name for it is "partial 16S ribosomal RNA". It matches the Rfam family "Bacterial small subunit ribosomal RNA", at positions 28 to 507 of the family's 1533-position model. The record is from RNAcentral.
GACGAACGCUGGCGGCGUGCUUAACACAUGCAAGUCGAACGGAAAGGCCCUGCUUUUGUGGGGUGCUCGAGUGGCGAACGGGUGAGUAACACGUGAGUAACCUGCCCUUGACUUUGGGAUAACUUCAGGAAACUGGGGCUAAUACCGGAUAGGAGCUCCUGCUGCAUGGUGGGGGUUGGAAAGUUUCGGCGGUUGGGGAUGGACUCGCGGCUUAUCAGCUUGUUGGUGGGGUAGUGGCUUACCAAGGCUUUGACGGGUAGCCGGCCUGAGAGGGUGACCGGCAACAUUGGGACUGAGAUACGGCCCAGACUCCUACGGGAGGCAGCAGUGGGGAAUAUUGCACAAUGGGCGGAAGCCUGAUGCAGCAACGCCGCGUGCGGGAUGACGGCCUUCGGGUUGUAAACCGCUUUCGCCUGUGACGAAGCGUGAGUGACGGUAAUGGGUAAAGAAGCACGGGCUAACUACGUG